GAUUAGAUACCCUAGUAUAAAAAGUGUUAUAAAUUAGUAUAUUAGAAAUUUAAUAAUUUUGGCGGUUAAAUGUUUGUUUGGAGGAGCUUGUUUUUAGAAUUUGCUCUUUAUAUUUUAUAUAUAAAUUUGUUUAUUCAUCUCCGUUAUUAAUAAUUAUAAAUAUUAAAAAUUUUAUUUUAUAUUUCAGGUCAAUAUGUAGCCUUUAUUUAAAAAAAUUAGCUACAAUUUAGAAUAAGAUGGAUUAAGCGUAUAUAAAUAUAUUAGGAAAGUGAAUUUAGUUGUAAUAAUAAUUAGAAUAUUAUUAUGAAAUUUUAAUAUUAAUGUUCAUAUUGCCCGUCACUUCUAUUGUUGAGAUAGGAUAAGUCGUAACAAAGUA
This 376-nucleotide ribosomal RNA is filed under the name Pachylibunus sp. MZSP 72933. RNAcentral's name for it is "partial small subunit ribosomal RNA". The record is from RNAcentral. Lineage: Eukaryota; Metazoa; Arthropoda; Arachnida; Opiliones; Gonyleptidae.